RNAcentral lists this ribosomal RNA (495 nucleotides) under uncultured bacterium. RNAcentral describes it as "partial 16S ribosomal RNA". It matches the Rfam family "Bacterial small subunit ribosomal RNA", at positions 28 to 507 of the family's 1533-position model. The record is from RNAcentral.
GACGAACGCUGGCGGCGUGCCUAAUACAUGCAAGUAGAACGCUGAAGGAGGAGCUUGCUUCUCUGGAUGAGUUGCGAACGGGUGAGUAACGCGUAGGUAACCUGCCUGGUAGCGGGGGAUAACUAUUGGAAACGAUAGCUAAUACCGCAUAAGAGUAGAUGUUGCAUGACAUUUACUUAAAAGGUGCAAUUGCAUCACUACCAGAUGGACCUGCGUUGUAUUAGCUAGUUGGUGAGGUAACGGCUCACCAAGGCAACGAUACAUAGCCGACCUGAGAGGGUGAUCGGCCACACUGGGACUGAGACACGGCCCAGACUCCUACGGGAGGCAGCAGUAGGGAACCUUCGGCAAUGGACGGAAGUCUGGCCGAGCAACGCCGCGUGAGUGAAGAAGGGUGUCGGAUCGUAAAGCUCUGUUGUAAGAGAAGAACGAGUGUGAGAGUGGAAAGUUCACACUGUGACGGUAUCUUACCAGAAAGGGACGGCUAACUACGUG